Molecule: unclassified non-coding RNA, 345 nt
Filed under: soil metagenome
Description: partial contains 5.8S ribosomal RNA, internal transcribed spacer 2, and large subunit ribosomal RNA
Rfam family: 5.8S ribosomal RNA (bases 1-119)
Source: RNAcentral
GAUGAAGAACGUAGCGAAAUGCGAUACGUAAUGUGAAUUGCAAAUUCAGUGAAUCAUCGAGUCUUUGAACGCACAUUGCGCCCCCUGGUAUUCCGGGGGGCAUGCCUGUCCGAGCGUCAUUGCUGCCCUCAAGCACGGCUUGUGUGUUGGGCUCCGUCCUCCGAUCCCGGGGGACGGGCCCGAAAGGCAGCGGCGGCACCGCGUCCGGUCCUCGAGCGUAUGGGGCUUUGUCACCCGCUCUGUAGGCCCGGCCGGCGCUUGCCGAUCAACCCAAAUUUUUAUCCAGGUUGACCUCGGAUCAGGUAGGGAUACCCGCUGAACUUAAGCAUAUCAAUAAGCGGAGGA